UACGUAGGGUGCGAGCGUUAAUCGGAAUUACUGGGCGUAAAGCGUGCGCAGGCGGUUCGUUGUGUCGGCGGUGAAAGCCCCGGGCUUAACCUGGGAAUGGCCGUUGAAACUGGCGAACUGGAGUGUGGCAGAGGGGGGUGGAAUUCCGCGUGUAGCAGUGAAAUGCGUAGAGAUGCGGGGGAACACCGAUGGCGAAGGCAGCCCCCUGGGCUAACACUGACGCUCAGGCACGAAAGCGUGGGGAGCAAACAGG
RNAcentral lists this ribosomal RNA (253 nucleotides) under uncultured bacterium. Its description in RNAcentral is "partial 16S ribosomal RNA". It matches the Rfam family "Bacterial small subunit ribosomal RNA", at positions 524 to 776 of the family's 1533-position model. The record is from RNAcentral.